GUACUGCUCACUUUGGCACCACAUAUACUAAAACUGGGAGAGCAUAGAAAACAUUAGCAUGGCCCCUGUGCAAGGAUGACACAAUAAAGAAAUCCUUUUUAU
Non-coding RNA from Nomascus leucogenys (northern white-cheeked gibbon), 102 nucleotides. Lineage: Eukaryota; Metazoa; Chordata; Mammalia; Primates; Hylobatidae. The record is from Rfam.